GACGAACGCUGGCGGCGUGCUUAACACAUGCAAGUCGAACGGUUAAGCGCCUUCCUUUUUGGUGGGUGUGGAUGAGUGGCGAACGGGUGAGUAACACGUGAGUAACCUGCCCCCUUCUUCUGGAUAACCGCAUGAAAGUGUGGCUAAUACGGGAUAUUCUGGGUCUGUCGCAUGAUGGGUCUGGGAAAGAUAUUGUUUCGGUGGGGGAUGGGCUCGCGGCCUAUCAGCUUGUUGGUGGGGUGAUGGCCUACCAAGGCGGUGACGGGUAGCCGGCCUGAGAGGGUGGACGGUCACACUGGGACUGGGACACGGCCCAGACUGCUACGGGAGGCAGCAGGGAGGAAUAUUGCACAAUGGGCGCAAGCAUGAUGCAGCGACGCCGCGUGAGGGAUGGGGGCCUUCGGGUUGUGAACCUCUUUCGCCAGUGAAGCAGGCCUGCCUCGUUUGUGGGUGGGUUGACGGUAGCUGGAUAAGAAGCGCCGGCUAACUACGUG
Molecule: ribosomal RNA, 494 nt
Filed under: uncultured bacterium
Lineage: Bacteria
Description: partial 16S ribosomal RNA
Rfam family: Bacterial small subunit ribosomal RNA
Source: RNAcentral